UGCAGACUAGUUAAGAGAGCUGGGUAAGAAUCAGGGUGUCCCUCAUGAUUAAAUGACAGUAGGAGGCUGCAUCACCACCGAGGGUCCCACCAUGCUCCGGGCAAUCCCCCAUAGCAAGGACCAAUCCAGACACCAAGGAGAACCCCUCCACCAGGAGCUGUAGGUGCCAUGUGCAGAAAGAAUAGAAAGGGGGCUGCGGAGAAGGCUGGAUUGCUGAGUGAGAUACUUGCCACACAAGCCUGAGGACCUGAGUUCGAUUCCCAUCACCCAUGGAAAAAGCCAGACCUUUAAACAUGUGUUUAUGGAAUAGACUGUGAACCCAUGGAGGUGGAAACCCAGCUUUUUGGUAUAUGUGAUGCCAUAUCCCUGGGAUAAUAUCACA
Mus caroli (Ryukyu mouse) is the source of this 382-nucleotide long non-coding RNA. RefSeq lists it as uncharacterized. The record is from RefSeq and is a predicted model, not a curated record. NCBI's taxonomy places the organism in Eukaryota, Metazoa, Chordata, Mammalia, Rodentia, Muridae.